AGGGUUCGAUUCUGGCUCAGGAUGAACGCUAGCUACAGGCUUAACACAUGCAAGUCAGGGGCAGCAUUGGAGUAGCAAUACUUCAGAUGGCGACCGGCGCACGGGUGAGUAACACGUAUCCAACCUGCCGCUUACUCGGGGAUAGCCUUUCGAAAGAAAGAUUAAUACCCGAUGGUAUAAAGAGUUCGCAUGUUCUCUUUAUUAAAGAAUUUCGGUAAGCGAUGGGGAUGCGUUCCAUUAGAUAGUUGGCGGGGUAACGGCCCACCAAGUCUACGAUGGAUAGGGGUUCUGAGAGGAAGGUCCCCCCACAUUGGAACUGAGACACGGUCCAAACUCCUACGGGAGGCAGCAGUGAGGAAUAUUGGUCAAUGGACGAGAGUCUGAACCAGCCAAGUAGCGUGAAGGAUGACUGCCCUAUGGGUUGUAAACUUCUUUUAUAAGGGAAUAAAGUGAGGGACGUGUCCCUUUUUGUAUGUACCUUAUGAAUAAGGAUCGGCUAACUCCGUGCCAGCAGCAGC
Molecule: ribosomal RNA, 518 nt
Filed under: uncultured bacterium
Lineage: Bacteria
Description: bacterial SSU rRNA
Rfam family: Bacterial small subunit ribosomal RNA
Source: RNAcentral